UGCCUUGGCUGAUUAUUCUCAGAGAAAAGU
Molecule: non-coding RNA, 30 nt
Filed under: Rattus norvegicus (Norway rat)
Lineage: Eukaryota; Metazoa; Chordata; Mammalia; Rodentia; Muridae
Source: RNAcentral